CCGUUGCCAUCAUUAAGUUGGGCACUCUGAGGAAACUGCCCGGGUUAACCGGGAGGAAGGCGGGGAUGACGUCAAGUCCUCAUGGCCCUUUAUGACCAGGGCUACACACGUGCUACAAUGGCCGGUACAAAGAGUUGCGAUACCGCGAGGUGGAGCUAAUCUCAUAAAGCCGGUCUCAGUUCGGAUUGGAGUCUGCAACUCGACUCCAUGAAGUUGGAAUCGCUAGUAAUCGCGGAUCAGCAUGCCGCGGUGAAUACGUUCCCGGGCCUU
This 270-nucleotide ribosomal RNA is filed under the name uncultured Geobacter sp. RNAcentral describes it as "partial 16S ribosomal RNA". It matches the Rfam family "Bacterial small subunit ribosomal RNA", at positions 1112 to 1382 of the family's 1533-position model. Lineage: Bacteria; Pseudomonadati; Thermodesulfobacteriota; Desulfuromonadia; Geobacterales; Geobacteraceae. The record is from RNAcentral.